ACCUUACCAGGUCUUGACAUCCUCUGACAACCCUAGAGAUAGGGCUUUCCCCUUCGGGGGACAGAGUGACAGGUGGUGCAUGGUUGUCGUCAGCUCGUGUCGUGAGAUGUUGGGUUAAGUCCCGCAACGAGCGCAACCCUUGAUCUUAGUUGCCAGCAUUCAGUUGGGCACUCUAAGGUGACUGCCGGUGACAAACCGGAGGAAGGUGGGGAUGACGUCAAAUCAUCAUGCCCCUUAUGACCUGGGCUACACACGUGCUACAAUGGAUGGUACAAAGAGCCCGCAAACCCGCGAGGGUAAGCUAAUCUCAUAAAGCCAUUCUCAGUUCGGAUUGCAGGCUGCAACUCGCCUGCAUGAAGCCGGAAUCGCUAGUAAUCGCGGAUCAGCAUGCCGCGGUGAAUACGUUCCCGGGCCUUGUAC
This 420-nucleotide ribosomal RNA is filed under the name uncultured Bacillota bacterium. Its description in RNAcentral is "bacterial SSU rRNA". It matches the Rfam family "Bacterial small subunit ribosomal RNA", at positions 968 to 1386 of the family's 1533-position model. Lineage: Bacteria; Bacillati; Bacillota. The record is from RNAcentral.